GAUGAACGCUAGCUACAGGCUUAACACAUGCAAGUCGAGGGGUAACGAGAGGGAAGCUUGCUUUCCUUGUCGACGACCGGCGCACGGGUGAGUAACGCGUAUCCAACCUGCCCCCAACUAGGGAAUAACCUUGCGAAAGUAAGACUAAUACCCUAUAAUUUCCUCAGAUGUCAUCUGACGAGGAAUAAAGAUUUAUCGGUUGUGGAUGGGGAUUCGUCUGAUUAGCUUGUUGGCGGGGUAACGGCCCACCAAGGCAACGAUCAGUAGGGGUUCUGAGAGGAAGGUCCCCCACAUUGGAACUGAGACACGGUCCAAACUCCUACGGGAGGCAGCAGUGAGGAAUAUUGGUCAAUGGGCGGAAGCCUGAACCAGCCAAGUAGCGUGCAGGAUGACGGCCCUAUGGGUUGCAAACUGCUUUUAUACAGGAAUAAAGUUAGCCACGUGUGGUUAUUUGUAGGUACUGUAUGAAUAAGGACCGGCUAAUUCCGUGCCAGCCGCCGCAGUAA
This 506-nucleotide ribosomal RNA is filed under the name uncultured bacterium. RNAcentral describes it as "partial 16S ribosomal RNA". It matches the Rfam family "Bacterial small subunit ribosomal RNA", at positions 28 to 523 of the family's 1533-position model. The record is from RNAcentral.